This 253-nucleotide ribosomal RNA is filed under the name uncultured bacterium. RNAcentral's name for it is "partial 16S ribosomal RNA". It matches the Rfam family "Bacterial small subunit ribosomal RNA", at positions 524 to 776 of the family's 1533-position model. The record is from RNAcentral.
GACAGAGGGUGCAAACGUUGUUCGGAAUUACUGGGCGUAAAGCGCGUGUAGGCGGUUCGCUAAGUCGGGUGUGAAAGCCCCGGGCUCAACCCGGGAAGUGCACUCGAAACUGGCGAGCUAGAGUAUCGGAGAGGUUGGUGGAAUUCUCGGUGUAGAGGUGAAAUUCGUAGAUAUGGGGAGGAACACCGGUGGCGAAGGCGGCCACCUGGACGGUAACUGACGCUGAGACGCGAAAGCGUGGGGAGCAAACAGG